Molecule: long non-coding RNA, 1121 nt
Filed under: Macaca mulatta (Rhesus monkey)
Lineage: Eukaryota; Metazoa; Chordata; Mammalia; Primates; Cercopithecidae
Description: lncRNA (ENSMMUG00000051960.1)
Source: RNAcentral
GAGACUGCGCUACUGUACUCCAGCCUGGCGACAGAGCAAGACUCCAUCUCAAAAAAACAGAGGAAAGGCUGGGCGCGGUAGCUCAUGCCCAUAAUCCCAGCACUUUGGGAGGCCAAGGCAGGUGGAUCACGAGGUCAGGAGUUCAAGACCAGCCUGGCCAAGAUGGUGAAUCCCCGUCCCUACUAAAAACAAAAAAAAUUAGCCAGGUUUGGUGGCAUGCACCUGUAAUCCCAGCUACUCGGGAGGCUGAGGCAGAGAAUUGCUUAAACUUAGGAGGUAGAGGUUGCAGUGAACUGAGGUCGCACCAUUGCACUCCAGCCUGGGCAACAGAGCAGACUCCGUCUCAAAAAAACCAAAAGAAAACCCACAAAAAUUAGCCAGGUGUGGUGGUGGCACAUGCCUGUAAUCCCAGCUACUCAGGAAGCUGAGGCAGGAGAAUUGCUUGAACCUGGGAGGUGGAGGUUGCAGUGAGCCAAGAUUGCACCACUGCACUCUAGUCUGGGUGACAGAACAAGGCCUUGUCUCAAAAAAAAAAAGAAAAAAAAAGUUAAAAAAAAAAAAAAAAAAGACAAAGGCAGAAGGACCCAGUCUCUGCCUCUCUAUGUCCCCAGUUACCCACCUCUCCCAUAUGAAGACACGGAGACUCAGAGAGAAAGAGUGACUCCCACAAGGUUGCACAGCUCCGAAAAGAUUCAUCCUGAUACUGAAUUCAGGUCUGUGGACUCCUGAUCCAGUGCUUUCCCCUCCCUGCACCAUCCACACUCAGGAUGUUCUUCUCUGCGGGAGAUCCCUGUCUUCCAUGGAGCCAGCACCCUCCAAUUUCACAAUCAGCUCUGGCUCACACCAGAGGGAGCCACGUGAAGCUGAUCAAGCCAGUCACCAAAAGGCUGGGGGAGAGAAUCUACACACGGUGCCACACACAAGGCCAUGAAUACACAAGUUCCUCAAAUGCUGGCUGUUUUCCUUCCAACGAGACAUACGUGGAGACGAAGAAAAAAAAAUCCCACAAAAACGUCCAGACCGUGGGAAAUCUGUUGGCAACUGUUGGAGGUGUGGACAGGGGCUCUUGCAAGAAAAGCUGGUCUGGGCGCUGGCAGAUCUGGAGCUGUAUAAGUGGGUAA